CGGUGCCUUACCAGACACAUUUUUUUGUUUUAUCAGGUAACACUGAGGCAAAGACAGCAGAAAUAAAAGAAAGAAAGCCUCCUUUUUGUCCGUUUCUGAUUAAAGUGGUCACUCUUUGACAGCCGGGACGCCAAAAGUGCUGAAAUCGUGUAACUGAUGAGCUGAAGGAUCGGCGGGGGAUCUUUGCACAUCGCCCUCCGUGGCUUUAAGUGAAAAGGUGACAGAGGAGCUUAGAGCGAAGAAAAAGUCUCGACGUAUGCAUUUUGCUUAUCAAUAUGCUUUGUGGAUGAUCGUCGGCUUUCACGGU
Gambusia affinis (western mosquitofish) is the source of this 307-nucleotide long non-coding RNA. RefSeq lists it as uncharacterized. NCBI's taxonomy places the organism in Eukaryota, Metazoa, Chordata, Actinopteri, Cyprinodontiformes, Poeciliidae. The record is from RefSeq and is a predicted model, not a curated record. The transcript is spliced from 3 exons.